AGCGAACGCUGGCGGCAGGCUUAACACAUGCAAGUCGAGCGGGCGUAGCAAUACGUCAGCGGCAGACGGGUGAGUAACGCGUGGGAACGUACCUUUUGGUUCGGAACAACACAGGGAAACUUGUGCUAAUACCGGAUAAGCCCUUACGGGGAAAGAUUUAUCGCCGAAAGAUCGGCCCGCGUCUGAUUAGCUAGUUGGUGUGGUAACGGCGCACCAAGGCGACGAUCAGUAGCUGGCUGAGAGGAUGAUCAGCCACAUUGGGACUGAGACACGGCCCAAACUCCUACGGGAGGCAGCAGUGGGGAAUAUUGGACAAUGGGCGCAAGCCUGAUCCAGCCAUGCCGCGUGAGUGAUGAAGGCCCUAGGGUUGUAAAGCUCUUUUGUGCGGGGAAGAUAAUGACGGUACCGCAAGAAUAAGCCCCGGCUAACUUCGUGCCAGCCGCCGCCGUAAG
This 452-nucleotide ribosomal RNA is filed under the name uncultured bacterium. Its description in RNAcentral is "bacterial SSU rRNA". It matches the Rfam family "Bacterial small subunit ribosomal RNA", at positions 29 to 524 of the family's 1533-position model. The record is from RNAcentral.